Molecule: ribosomal RNA, 315 nt
Filed under: uncultured eukaryote
Lineage: Eukaryota
Description: partial 18S ribosomal RNA
Rfam family: Eukaryotic small subunit ribosomal RNA
Source: RNAcentral
CCCUUAGACGUUCUGGGCCGCACGCGCGCUACACUGGCCGGUGCAACAAGCAUCCGUCCUUGGCCGACAGGCCCGGGCAAUCUUUGAACGGCGGUCGUGAUGGGGAUAGACUUUUGCAAUUUUUGGUCUUCAACGAGGAAUUCCUAGUAAACGCAAGUCAUCAACUUGCAUUGAUUACGUCCCUGCCCUUUGUACACACCGCCCGUCGCACCUACCGAUUGAAUGGUCCGGUGAAGCCUCCGGAUUGGCGCGCACCUCGGUGCCGCCGAGAAGUUGGCUAAACCUUACCAUUUAGAGGAAGGUGAAGUCGUAACA